RNAcentral lists this transfer-messenger RNA (404 nucleotides) under Bacteroidetes bacterium HGW-Bacteroidetes-12. It matches the Rfam family "transfer-messenger RNA". Rfam says of the family: Bacterial tmRNA, also known as 10Sa RNA or SsrA, is named for its dual tRNA and mRNA-like properties. Lineage: Bacteria; Pseudomonadati; Bacteroidota. The record is from RNAcentral. RNAcentral also lists the same sequence under 1 other name.
GGGGUCGUUUUUGGUUUUGACAGCAAGAUGAAUGGAUAUGUAAGCAUGUCGAGCAUUGUGAGUUGGCUCGUAAAUAUCGGCUCUCGAAUCGCUAACUGGCGAAAAUAACUAUGCAAUGGCUGCGUAAUCUCGACCAAGUCGGAUUAUACUUAAUACUUACUCUUAGAGGGUAAGCACCAUUAAUCUCUCAACAGUUCUGUUCAUUAAUUGUUGUAUUCGAGGUUUCAAAAUUUUGAACUAGCUAAGUAAAACGCUUCGAUUUACUGGUAAAACACAAGAAGCUUAAGUUUGAAAUUGGCUGUCUUUAGCCUGUUUUAUACCUAACAAUUAAUUAAAGACUAAACAUGAAGAAAGCGUAUUGAUUCCUUGUUUGGACGAGGGUUCGAAUCCCUCCGACUCCACAG